Spinacia oleracea (spinach) is the source of this 5396-nucleotide long non-coding RNA. RefSeq lists it as uncharacterized. Lineage: Eukaryota; Viridiplantae; Streptophyta; Magnoliopsida; Caryophyllales; Amaranthaceae. The transcript has 8 exons. The record is from RefSeq and is a predicted model, not a curated record.
AAAGAAAUAAAAAUAAAUAAAUGAAAAGAACAGGAGAGAGAAAGGAAGAAGUAGAGCUCCCGCCUUUGGAAGAAAUACCAAACGUUUGCUGAAAUUUCGCAGAGAAAAUUGAAAAAAAUAGAUUCAACUUGGAGUGUUCAACCCCAGAAAUGAAGUAUUACUUUUCAGUAUGAUUGAGGAAAAAUUGACCUCACCGGACCCCAAACCCUAGUACUGGUUGUAUCUAAGCUGCUGUUGUUGCUGUUCUUGUAUCACAACUCUGCUCGGAAUUGAAGUUGGCUAAACUCUCUGGGUAGGAUAUCUCCUCUGGUCCACAAUAAUUGCAAGCCAGCCCCGUUCUUCAAUCUGCCCCAUCUGCGUUUGCUGUAAAGAAAAAAAGGGUUUUAGAAUUCAUGUGACUACAACUGAAAAGGUUUCCUUACUGCUUACCUGGUAUAUAGAUGUCUGGCUGUGGGCAGGGGAAGGUGCAGCAUAGAACAUAAAAGGAUGUGAUCUUUCAUCAGCAAAGUCUCUCAACUUCUCAAGCUCUGGCAAGACGUCUUUUCCGAGAUCUGGUCGGUCUCUCCUUCUUAGCUCAGCGCAUUGAAUAGCUAUCUUUGCCAGGCGUAAGGCUUCCUCCACUGGCCAAUCAGUUAGCAGUUGGAGAAGCACUAUCCCCAAUGAAUAGAUAUCAGAUUUAACACCAAGCACACCAGUUUGUUGAUACUCUGGAUCGAUGUAACAGAAAGUCCCGGCAGCUGACGUCACGCAAUAUUGUGUUGCUUGAUCGGCAACAGAAGGUACCAGUCUCGCCAAUCCAACAUCUCCAAUCUUGGCGACGUAAUACCGAUCCAAAAGUAUAUUCCCAGGUUUAAGGUCACGAUGAACUAGCGGUUCUGGCUUUGUCAUAUGGAGGAAAUUAAGUCCUGUCGCAAUGUCUGCUGCAAUUCGGAACCUAAUUUGCCAAGUUAGAGGUUGCAUUUUUCCUCGACGAAACAGACAAUCAUCUAAACUACCAUUUGCCAUGUAUUCAUAAACUAUGCAACCAUAUUCUGGGCAUGCUCCUAGGAGAAGAACCAUGUUGGGAUGCCUGAUGCAGCUCAGUACUUCAACCUGCAACAAGUUCAAGGGAUUGGUGAUUUCGUGAAGUAACAAAACUCCUGCAUUUUUACCUCUUGUUGGAACUGUGUUCUUCCUUGAGCAGCAUCUGGCCGUAAAACUUUCACUGCAACUUUUGUAUGAUCAAGGUCACACUUAAAGACGGGCCCAUAGCCUCCUUCUCCCACUUUGAGAGAUGGAGAGAAAGAGUUCGUUGCUUUUUCUAUAUCUUCAAUGGUGUACUUCUUGUAGCUUAUGGCACUAUGGGUUGGUGUAUACUCUGUGUUACCUGAACUAUUUUUUCUUUCUUCCUUCAGUGCCGCAGCCCUUUCUGCUCUAUUUCUCUCAGCAAGCACUAUUGCAACUUCCUCAGGUGUUCCUGUUUCUUCCAAUUUUUUGUCUUCUUCUAGUCUCCACCGGUGGAGCUCCAUUGCCUGCACUUGUUUGACAUUCUAAUUAUCAGUUGCCAGAAAUGUCAUUUAUUCAUGCAAUCUUCCUUGAGACAUGUACGAAGUAUUUUUAAGGGGAAAAGGAAGAGGGGUGGGUGUUUGCGUGUUAAGGCGUGAAGCCUACUUGUUGUUCUUCUCUCUUUUUUGCAAAAACUGCUUCUUUGCAGGCUUCACCGUACAUCUGCAUGGUUUGCUUGAGCUCAAGCUUUAAUCUUCUCAUCUCUGAUUCUGUUUCUUCCUGUGUUUAUGUAAACAGAAUUCAAAUUGUUGCAUGUCUUCACAACAUAACUUACAAAAAAAUAAAUGAAAAAUAAACAAUUCAUGCAGACAUAUGAUAGUCAUCCUUUGUAUUCUGUACGAAACUGGAAAAAUCGGUGAACAGUACAUGCAAGAUACAUGAAGUCUUCUGCCCCUUUUUUAUACUCCCUCCGUAUUUAUUUAAGGGAUAGACUUGCUUUUUUCGGCCGUAUUUAUUUAAGAGAUACACUUGCUAUUUUUAGUAACUUAUCAAUCCCACCAUCUAAUUAAAUAAUACUUCAUAUGACCCACCAACCUAUUAAACAAAUAAUUUCAUAAACUCACCCCACCUCCCACCCCCCAAAAUGACAUGGUCCCACGUGAUUAAUUAUUAAAAUAUAUAUAUCUAACCCCACUUGCUUUAUUAUUUUAUUUCAUUAAAUUCUUCUUCUUAAUACCCGUGUCCGGCCAAGUGUAUCUCUUAAAUAAAUACGGAGGGAGUACUAUAUUACUAUGAAGGUUAUUUUGUACAUGAACACCUAGAUAUUUCGUGAGUUGCACGUAGUCACCUGCUCUUUUUUCUUUGAAAAGACUCACCUCUCACAUCGUUGAACCUAAAUUAUUACCUUUGUUUGGUAGAUUACCUCGUACGUAAUUCCUGCUCACAUUGCAACUGACAGUAUUUUUAGAUUCCCUCAGGUGGGAAGCUGAGUUCAAGUAAACACAGGUAUGUAUGAUAAUAUUCUCUGUUUGUGUAGAAUAUAGACAUAUAUGAUAAUAUGCUAUUUGACGACAACUGACCAUACAUCAUGAUUCCCGCAUAAAAUUGGAGGUGUUGUCCAUUGAUAUUUCAGUCGAAAUUAAACAUACUUACACUAUGCUGUGAAGAAGUUGAAGUCCAUCCACUUUCUUGUGACAUAAAUGAAAGUUCAGGCCUUGGAUUAAUAUCAUUCAUCCUUUGUCCUCCCCGAGACCCAAAACUAUGGUCUGAACUAGUGGAAAGCCUUGGGGUUCGUGAUAUAUCCAUGUAGUCAUAAUGCACAGAAAAACGAUCAACACUAGUUCUCUCAGAGCUCACAAAUGAUAUAUCUGUAUCACUUUCUGGAAAUUCACUUAACACCAGCCUUUCAUUCCAUCUAUCUAACCUGUUACAGCAUUUGUUAAACAUGAGUGAAUAUUAUCAUUUAAAUCCUGUACUGUUGAAUGCAUGAGAAGUGGAUAUGGGUUCCGAGGUUUAAUGACUGUAUUAAUAAACUGAUCUCAUUUUUUGAUGCUUUUAUUCAACCUUUGAAGUCUGUUAAGCAUGUGUAUUGAUUUGCCACAUAUGUAAUAAAAUUCAAGCUUUUAUUCGUAGUAUAAACUAGUAUCCGAGGAAUGCAUGAAUGACACUACACUCUUGACAAACAGAGAAUGAGCUUUCCCUGCUACUGGAUGUACCUUAACUCCCUGUCAUCUCUUGGAGGUGUGAAUGAAGGCCUCUCUCCUGCUUGCACAAAAUCCAGAUUCUAUCAUUUUGAGUAGAAGCAACAUUAAGUAAUAUAGUAGGACAGAGGAAGCAAAGAAACCUCUAAUGCUUAGACUACGUCUUGGUGGUGUCGAAACAGGUGGGGAAAGAUUUGGUUUAUCUUUGACUAUGCUUUCUAAGUAGUACUGAAGAGGAGACGUGUGUGGAACUGGUCGUGAAGCAUUGCGUGCACUUGACAUCUUUUGCUUGUUGAUUACAUAUACAGUGCAGAAAUCAGGUGCUCCUCUUGAAACAAUAGUUGGUACAUCUGCACUCUUGAAUUUUCUGUGUCACCAUAAAAUAAAAUUUCACUUAUCACGUGUCUGUCAGACAAAAGGAAUUUUCUGCACAUGAUUUGCAGUGCUUGCUUCAAUAUGUGAUGCCAAAUUAUAAGGCUUUCUAAUUCUGUCUAUCACUGUUAGGUAAGAUUCAAAAUGAUCAGGGGAGUUGCUCUUUUCAUCUAGUUAAAUUUAUAAAUCUUUAGGGACUUUUAAAGAUGACUUUACUCUAUAUGGUUUCUCAUAGAAGUAUUGUUUACUGCAAUUAAUGUGAAGUUAGUUGUCAUACAUUGACCCGUUCUUGUUUGUGAUAAAUAAAUAGAAAAUCCGGUGCUGCUAUGGGUACUUCUUAAAAAAAAAGUCUCUGAAGCUAUUACCUGAUGAAUCCACCUCUUGAAACACCAAGAACCAAAUUCUCAAUUGCAGCGUAAUUGGCGUAUUCUAUCAGAGCUCUCCCUACAUCGUUAUCUUUCAGUGUGAUAUCUAUGCAGCGUAUCUGACAAAAACCAGAAAUCAGGCCAGUUUAUAAGCACUUUAACAUAUACCAGGAGACAAUUAGACCAAAUAGUGAUAAGAACUAGCUUAUGUGUUUUCAGGUUCUGGCCAUAGAUUUUUAUUAGAUACAGUGAUAAUAUUGUACUUGUUUGCUUGUAUUGAUCAUUUGAUCUGCCACCUGGGUUCUUGAUCUUUUCUCUUCUUUUGUUUGUAUCUUGCUGACAUAUCUUUUUUGGUUAUUUUACCUAGUGUGAUUAAGUGUUGAUAGCUAUAUUGUAAUAGUAUCGCUUAAGAAAACGUACAUCCUUGCGAGUACAGAAGCAGCGAAAUGUGAGGAACAGGUCCUUUGUGUUCUUGUCGACUUGAUUAUAAUUUGGUGAUGUGCCUGGACUUGAUGUUGAUACAAUGGCAGAACUACCCGCUGCAAGCAUCAAAGAAAUUAGGUUGCAUCUUGGUUACUCUUUUUUUUACAAUUGCAAAUGAGUUAAGGCAUAUUUGCGUAGGGUGCUGUCUUUUAAUUUGAAAUUCUACAGGUAAUAACAUUGCUUUCGGAUAUUAUGCAUUGUGGUGAUAUUUUUUAUGAUCUGCUACAUCUUUAAAAAUAAAAUAAAAUUUGGCCUAUCUUUGUUUACGUUUUCUCCUGUAUCGUUUGACUUCUAGUGGCUCAUUGUUUUGUUUUUCUGUCUCUUAUAACUAUUGAAGCUUUAAGGAAAUUAUACUACGUGCAGAAUUGCAGACUCGCAGGAGUAUCUAAUUAAAAGGACGUAUCCUUUCACAAGACUCUGCCACGUAUUAUCCUCUUCCAACAAUUGAGACUUAGCAUAUCAUUGGAUGGACUUCACUGUAAAACUUAACACUUCAUUUAGUUGGUAGACAUUUGAUCGGAAAAUGAAGAUGGGGUUAUUGCACAGCGAGGUUUUGCAGCUAGUUUGCUAAAUCGAAGGGCAACCAUUGGUAUCAAACUUGGGGUAAGGGACCUUCCAAUUGGUUGUUAGCCAUAUUGAUGUUUGGCAAGUCCUUCUGCUUGAAAUCGGGGACUCUGCCUUGGAAUUGGUUUCCGUCUAAUUUCAGCUCAACGAGUAUGGGUAGCGAGGGGAGAGAUGAUGGUAUCUUUCCGGUGAAGGCAUUGUUUGCGAGGACCACCCUCCUUAAAGAAUCCAUCCCAGCAAAGGCAUUCUCGGGAAUUUCACCAGAAAAAUUAUUAUUAGAGAGGUAAACGGAUCUCAAUUUUGGUAGACGGCGAAUAUCUGGAAUCGGACCUUUAAACUUGUUGUGUUUGACGCUUAGGGUCCUCAUCUCAGGCAAUUGAGAGAGAGCAUCAAUAUCAAUGGUGCCUCCCAAACCUAAAUAUUCGAG